UGCCUAUUAGUGGGGGACAGCCCAGCGAAAGCUGGAUUAAUACCGCAUACGCCCUACGGGGGAAAGCAGCAAUGCGCUAAUAGAUGAGCCCGCGUAAGAUUAGCUAGUUGGUAAGGUAAAGGCUUACCAAGGCGACGAUCUUUAGCUGGUCUGAGAGGAUGGCCAGCCACAUCGGGACUGAGACACGGCCCGGACUCCUACGGGAGGCAGCAGUCGGGAAUAUUGGACAAUGGGCGCAAGCCUGAUCCAGCAAUACCGCGUGUGUGAAGAAGGCCUGCGGGUUGUAAAGCACUUUCAGUUGGGAAGAUAAUGACGUUACCAACAGAAGAAGCACCGGCUAACUCCGUGCCAGCAGCCGCGGUAAUACGGAGGGUGCAAGCGUUAAUCGGAAUUACUGGGCGUAAAGCGUGCGUAGGCGGCCUGUUAAGUCAGAUGUGAAAGCCCCGGGCUUAACCUGGGAACUGCAUCUGAUACUGGGAGGCUAGAAUGUGGGAGAGGAGAGUGGAAUUU
RNAcentral lists this ribosomal RNA (510 nucleotides) under uncultured bacterium PL3. RNAcentral's name for it is "bacterial SSU rRNA". It matches the Rfam family "Bacterial small subunit ribosomal RNA", at positions 127 to 669 of the family's 1533-position model. The record is from RNAcentral.